UACGGAGGGUGCGAGGGUUUUCCGGAAUCACUGGGUUUAAAGGGUGCGUAGGCGGCUCGGUAAGUCAGUUGUGAAAGCCCAUUGCUUAACGAGGGAGGUGCGAUUGAUACUGUCGAGCUUGAAUCGGGAUGAGGCAGGCGGAAUGUGGCAUUUAGCGGUGAAAUGCAUAGAUAUGCCAUAGAAAGCCGAUUGCGCAGGCAGCCUGCUGGGACUGUAUUGACGCUGAGGCACGAAAGCGUGGGGAGCAAACAGG
This 253-nucleotide ribosomal RNA is filed under the name uncultured bacterium. RNAcentral's name for it is "partial 16S ribosomal RNA". It matches the Rfam family "Bacterial small subunit ribosomal RNA", at positions 524 to 776 of the family's 1533-position model. The record is from RNAcentral.